Molecule: ribosomal RNA, 1476 nt
Filed under: uncultured Bordetella sp.
Lineage: Bacteria; Pseudomonadati; Pseudomonadota; Betaproteobacteria; Burkholderiales; Alcaligenaceae
Description: partial 16S-23S ribosomal RNA intergenic spacer
Rfam family: Bacterial small subunit ribosomal RNA
Source: RNAcentral
UUCGAUCAUGGCUCAGAUUGAACGCUGGCGGGAUGCUUUACACAUGCAAGUCGAACGGCAGCACGGACUUCGGUCUGGUGGCGAGUGGCGAACGGGUGAGUAAUGUAUCGGAACGUGCCUAGUAGCGGGGGAUAACUACGCGAAAGCGUAGCUAAUACUGCAUACGUCUCUCGGGGGAAAGCGGGGACCUUCGGGCCUCGCACUAUUAGAGCGGCCGAUAUCGGAUUAGCUAGUUGGUGGGGUAACGGCUCACCAAGGCGACGAUCCGUAGCUGGUUUGAGAGGACGACCAGCCACACUGGGACUGAGACACGGCCCAGACUCUACGGGAGGCAAAGCAGUGGGGAAUUUUGGACAAUGGGGGAAACCCUGAUCCAGCCAUCCCGCGUGUGCGAUGAAGGCCUUCGGGUUGUAAAGCACUUUUGGCAGGAAAGAAACGGCACGGAUAAUACCCCGUGCAACUGACGGUACCUGCAGAAUAAGCACCGGCUAACUACGUGCCAGCAGCCGCGGUAAUACGUAGGGUGCAAGCGUUAAUCGGAAUUACUGGGCGUAAAGCGUGCGCAGGCGGUUCCGGAAAGAAAGAUGUGAAAUCCCAGAGCUUAACUUUGAACUGCAUUUUUAACUACCGAGCUAGGAGUGUGUCAGAGGGAGGUGGAAUUCCGCGUGUAGCAGGAAUGCGUAGAUAUGCGGAGGAACACCGAUGGCGAAGGCACCGGGAUAGCCACUGACGUUCAUGCACGAAAGCGUGGGGAGCAAACAGGAUUAGAUACCUGGUAGUCCACGCCCUAAACGAUGUCAACUAGCUGUUGGGGCCUUCGGGCCUGGUAGCGCAGCUAACGCGUGAAGUUGACCGCCUGGGGAGUACGGUCGCAAGAUUAAAACUCAAAGGAAUUGACGGGGACCCGCACAAGCGGUGGAUGAUGUGGAUUAAUUCGAUGCAACGCGAAAACCUUACCUACCCUUGACAUGUCUGGAAUCCCGAAGAGAUUUGGGAGUGCUCGCAAGAGAACCGGAACACAGGUGCUGCAGAUGGCUGUCGUCAACUCGUGUCGAGAUGCUGGGUUAAGUCCUGCAACGAGCGCAACCCUUGUCAUUAGUUGCUACGAAAGGGCACUCUAAUGAGACUGCCGGUGACAAACCGGGAGGAAGGUGGGGAUGACGUCAAGUCCUCAUGGCCCUUAUGGGUAGGGCUUCACACGUCAUACAAUGGUCGGGACAGAGGGUCGCCAACCCGCGAGGGGGAGCCGGUCCCAGAAACCCGAUCGUAGUCCGGAUCGCAGUCUGCAACUCGACUGCGUGAAGUCGGAAUCGCUAGUAAUCGCGGAUCAGCAUGUCGCGGUGAAUGUUCCCGGGUCUUGUACACACUGCCCGUCACACCAUGGGAGUGGGUUUUACCAGAAGUAGUUAGCCUAACCGUAAGGAGGGCGAUUACCACGGUAGGAUUCAUGACUGGGGUGAAGUCGUAACAAGGUAA